RNAcentral lists this ribosomal RNA (301 nucleotides) under Salmonella enterica subsp. enterica serovar Virchow. RNAcentral describes it as "partial 23S ribosomal RNA". It matches the Rfam family "Bacterial large subunit ribosomal RNA", at positions 1461 to 1757 of the family's 2925-position model. Lineage: Bacteria; Pseudomonadati; Pseudomonadota; Gammaproteobacteria; Enterobacterales; Enterobacteriaceae. The record is from RNAcentral.
GCGAAGGGGGGACGGAGAAGGCUAUGUUGGCCGGGCGACGGUUGUCCCGGUUUAAGCGUGUAGGUGUGUGUUCCAGGUAAAUCCGGUUCACUUUAACACUGAGGCGUGACGACGAGGCACUACGGUGCUGAAGCAACAAAUGCCCUGCUUCCAGGAAAAGCCUCUAAGCAUCAGGUAACAUCAAAUCGUACCCCAAACCGACACAGGUGGUCAGGUAGAGAAUACCAAGGCGCUUGAGAGAACUCGGGUGAAGGAACUAGGCAAAAUGGUGCCGUAACUUCGGGAGAAGGCACGCUGACAC